CUGCUUAACACAAGUUGAGUAGGGAAAGUUUUUCGGUGUAGGAUGAGACUAUAUAGUAUCAGCUAGUUGGUAAGGUAAUGGCUUACCAAGGCUAUGACGCUUAACUGGUCUGAGAGGAUGAUCAGUCACACUGGGACUGAGACACGGUCCAGACUCCUACGGGAGGCAGCAGUAGGGAAUAUUGCGCAAUGGGGGAAACCCUGACGCAGCAACGCCGCGCGGAGGAUGACACUUUUCGGAGCGUAAACUCCUUUUCUUAGGGAAGAAUUCUGACGGUACCUAAGGAA
RNAcentral lists this ribosomal RNA (287 nucleotides) under uncultured Campylobacter sp. RNAcentral's name for it is "partial 16S ribosomal RNA". It matches the Rfam family "Bacterial small subunit ribosomal RNA", at positions 179 to 486 of the family's 1533-position model. Lineage: Bacteria; Pseudomonadati; Campylobacterota; Epsilonproteobacteria; Campylobacterales; Campylobacteraceae. The record is from RNAcentral.